Molecule: ribosomal RNA, 483 nt
Filed under: uncultured bacterium
Lineage: Bacteria
Description: partial 16S ribosomal RNA
Rfam family: Bacterial small subunit ribosomal RNA
Source: RNAcentral
AUUGAACGCUGGCGGCAUGCUUUACACAUGCAAGUCGAACGGCAGCGCGGGCUUCGGCCUGGCGGCGAGUGGCGAACGGGUGAGUAAUGCAUCGGAACGUGCCCAGUAGUGGGGGAUAGCCCGGCGAAAGCCGGAUUAAUACCGCAUACGACCUGAGGGUGAAAGCGGGGGACCGAAAGGCCUCGCGCUAUUGGAGCGGCCGAUGUCGGAUUAGCUAGUUGGUGGGGUAAAGGCUUACCAAGGCGACGAUCCGUAGCUGGUCUGAGAGGACGACCAGCCACACUGGGACUGGGACACGGCCCAGACUCCUACGGGAGGCAGCAGUGGGGAAUUUUGGACAAUGGGGGCAACCCUGAUCCAGCCAUGCCGCGUGCGGGAAGAAGGCCUUCGGGUUGUAAACCGCUUUUGUUCGGGAAGAAAUCCUCUGGGCUAAUACCCCGGGGGGAUGACGGUACCGGAAGAAUAAGCACCGGCUAACUACGU